Molecule: non-coding RNA, 113 nt
Organism: Acanthosepion pharaonis
Lineage: Eukaryota; Metazoa; Mollusca; Cephalopoda; Sepiida; Sepiidae
Source: the annotation of a GenBank genome assembly
UACGGGCAAACCAAAUUGAUAAUACCGGUUCCCGUACAAUCACUAAAGUUAAGCAAUGUAGAGCAUGUUCAGGGCCUAGAUGGGUGACCGCUUGGGGAUAUCAGGUACUGCAA